Non-coding RNA from Maylandia zebra (zebra mbuna), 297 nucleotides. The record is from RefSeq and is a predicted model, not a curated record. Lineage: Eukaryota; Metazoa; Chordata; Actinopteri; Cichliformes; Cichlidae.
GCAUUGUCAUGUGUUGGAUCAGACUGUGCUAUGGUUUUACUGGUGUUACUGGUUGUGCUGGUGAGACAAUGUGUUCACAGGAAACCUUAAGAUAAAGCUGCAGGAGAUGAUGUCACAUACAUUCAAAUAUCACAUCGCUGGCUGUGAGACAAAGCAGAAGUAAUAACGAGGGACCUUUGACACUGAUCCAGCUGCAGUUUACUCAGCAGUGAGAACUGAAGACGUCACUUAUGGAAAAAUCAUCACAGACAAGAACAAACGAUCACAGACGAGAGUUCUGAUCUCACUGCUGAGCUG